AUGGGGAUCCACUUUUCCUGCAUUCGAGGUGACUUGAAGAAGCCUUCCAAAAAGCGUGUGAAAAGGGAGCCCUACUCUACUACCAUGUUACAGGUGACUUCAUUGAGCCCAAUCAAUGAAAUUUUGAGAAGAUACAGCCUGUACACCAACCAGCAUUGGAGGCAUCAUGGCUUCUGGAGAAAGAAGAUACAGCCACAAGAAGCCUCUGAGGAGCCUCCAGCUCACAAGGACAGAGGAGGUGGAGAGAGGCCAGUCAACGCGAGGGUGGUGCGGGUGGCCCCUCUGAGGCCUGGUUUUGCUCUUUGUGGGUACGCUGUACAAGACAUCUCUAAAGAAGACACUGUAUAUGACAUCUGUAAUGAGGAUGCUGUAGACAUCUCUGAUGAGGACACUGUAGAUAUCUCUAAUGAGGCUUCUGUACAUGACAUCUCUAAUGAGGCUGCUGUAUGUGACAUCUCUAACGAUGCCGUAAACAUCUCUAAUGAGGCUGCUGUACGUGACAUCUCUAAUGACGCUGUAGACAUCUGUAAUGAGGCUGCUGUACAUGACAUCUCUAAUGAGGACACUAUAGAAGACAUUUCUUAUGAGGACACUGUAUACGACAUCACUAAUGAGGAUGCUGUACGAUACCUCUGUAAAAAAGAUGCUACCAAGGAGCCAUUGACACUGGAGAAUGAUUUGAUUGUGGAGAGCAUGUCUGAUGACGAGGAUUUUGCAGGU
Molecule: long non-coding RNA, 720 nt
Filed under: Homo sapiens (human)
Lineage: Eukaryota; Metazoa; Chordata; Mammalia; Primates; Hominidae
Description: non-protein coding LINC01658:8
Source: RNAcentral